UGGGGAAUAUUGCGCAAUGGGCGGAAGCCUGACGCAGCAACGCCGCGUGCGGGAUGACGGCCUUCGGGUUGUAAACCGCUUUCAGCAGGGACGAAGCUUUUGUGACGGUACCUGCAGAAGAAGCACCGGCCAACUAC
This 137-nucleotide ribosomal RNA is filed under the name uncultured Actinomycetes bacterium. Its description in RNAcentral is "uncultured actinobacterium partial 16S rRNA". It matches the Rfam family "Bacterial small subunit ribosomal RNA", at positions 355 to 504 of the family's 1533-position model. The record is from RNAcentral. Lineage: Bacteria; Bacillati; Actinomycetota; Actinomycetes.